RNAcentral lists this ribosomal RNA (731 nucleotides) under uncultured bacterium. RNAcentral describes it as "bacterial SSU rRNA". It matches the Rfam family "Bacterial small subunit ribosomal RNA", at positions 62 to 823 of the family's 1533-position model. The record is from RNAcentral.
UCGCACGAGAAAGCGGGAGCAAUCUCGCAAGUAAAGUGGCGUACGGGUGAGUAACACGUGGAUCAUCUGCCCUGGAGUGGGGAAUAACGCUGGGAAACCGGCGCUAAUACCGCAUAUACCCGAGAGGGGAAAGCAGCAAUGCGCUCGAGGAGGAGUCCGCGGCCGAUUAGCUAGUUGGCAGGGUAAAAGCCUACCAAGGCUGUGAUCGGUAGCCGGCCUGAGAGGGCACACGGCCACACUGGCACUGAAACACGGGCCAGACUCCUACGGGAGGCAGCAGUGGGGAAUCUUGCACAAUGGGGGAAACCCUGAUGCAGCGACGCCGCGUGAGCGAUGAAGCCCUUCGGGGUGUAAAGCUCUUUCGGCAGGGAAGAUAAUGACGGUACCUGCAGAAGCAGCUGCGGCUAACUACGUGCCAGCAGCCGCGGUAAUACGUAGGCAGCAAGCGUUGUUCGGAGUUACUGGGCGUAAAGGGUGUGUAGGUGGCGCGCUAAGUUCCGUGUGAAAUCUCCCGGCUCAACCGGGAGGGUGCGCGGAAAACUGGCGGGCUAGAGUACGGGAUGGGAGAGUAGAAUUCCUGGUGUAGCGGUGAAAUGCGUAGAUAUCAGGAGGAAUACCGGUGGUGUAGACGGCUCUCUGGACCGUAACUGACACUGAAACACGAAAGCGUGGGUAGCAAACAGGAUUAGAUACCCUGGUAGUCCACGCCCUAAACGAUGCAUAUUUGGUGU